UGCGGAUCCAGGAUUCCCUCCAGGUUCGGAGCUCUCGGCUGGCUCUGGAUGCUCUGAGGAGGACGUGGAUGGCAGCCGAGCUCUUCAAACCCAGUGGAUUUUCAGAUGUCAAGGAGAUCUGUGAUAAUUCAGUGACCACCAGGGGGCAUCAGGAUCUCUGGGUGUCCUGAGUAACCGAGCCCACACUGAAUUCGGAUGAGUGUUUGCUGAACCCACGGGAGGCGAGGCACGAGCUAAGCGGCUGGAAGAAAACGCAAGGAGCCGAAGGCACCGCGGACGCGUUUAUUCCCUCCUGGCUGGCGCAGCAGCUGUAGCAGCGGACAUCACACAACGUAAUUGCUCACAAGCCUGACGGGCUUUUCCAGGUGAAGCUUAUAUGUACUUACAGAACAAAAGCAGCCUGUGGCCAAGGGGGCACCUCAUGACGUGCAUGUGCAGUGCGAUAAGUGAUCUCAGCUGCUACAUAACCACCUAAAGUCACUGUUUACAGAGCAGGAGAGCGUGGGGCAGGGGAGCCUGGCUGGCGCCAUCUUGUUAG
Long non-coding RNA from Cervus elaphus (red deer), 538 nucleotides. RefSeq lists it as uncharacterized. The record is from RefSeq and is a predicted model, not a curated record. NCBI's taxonomy places the organism in Eukaryota, Metazoa, Chordata, Mammalia, Artiodactyla, Cervidae. The transcript is spliced from 3 exons.